UAAGUUUGUGAAAAUAGAAGUUAGGCUUUUUUUAAUUCAUGAUCGGAGUUACCGAAUGUGAUCUAAAUAGUAUAAAAAAAUUUUUAUCGAAAAUUCAAACUGUUUGGAUUGUUCUACACUAUUAAACAAGAGAACGGCUUAUAUAGAGGGUGAAAAUUAUCGAUUUUGUGAUCCUUUGAUUACUAAGUAAAUAAUUUUUAAAAAUUCAUAAAAUUUAGUUUCUAAAUACUUUAAAUACUCUAAUUAAUUUUAACGGUUCCGAUCAUUGAUUCAAAAUUCCUAUCAUCUGAAACGAUUUAGGAAAACGAAAACCUCCAUCAUCCUAAAAGGAUUAGUAGCUGGAUUCAUGUCUCUUGUAUUUUUAUAAGUACGGAGUUUUUCAUACUUAUAAAUUAUUUUUAAUAAUAAAAUUACUGAAUUGAAUCUAUAUAGUUAAACAUAAUUUAGAACAUUUAAAAUAUUUUAAAAAUAAAUUUUAAUCUUCUUUAAAAUCAUAAUAAAAUCUACCAAGCGAGUAUAAAAAUAAACGGUAAAAAUCGAACAACAUCCUAAAAAUAGAAAAUCGAAUUCUUCAAUUUACAAUGUGAGUUGUUAAUUGUUACCUAAAUAGUGAUCAACAGAAUAUUUUAUCAAAAAUUUAACUGAUUUUAAUUUUUUUUAAAACCAUUAAACUAGAAAAGAUCCUUUACCAGUCGUUAUAUAUUAUCAAUUUUGGAAAAUUUUUUUUAUUGUGAGAUAAAUUAUGUUGAAAAAUAAUAAAAUUUAAUUUUUAAAAAGUUUGAAUACUCUAAAUUAUAUUUAAUAAU
This 806-nucleotide long non-coding RNA is filed under the name Ananas comosus (pineapple). RNAcentral describes it as "long non-coding RNA (ACOM_LNC000155)". The record is from RNAcentral. Lineage: Eukaryota; Viridiplantae; Streptophyta; Magnoliopsida; Poales; Bromeliaceae.